GAUGAACGCUGGCGGCGUGCCUAAUACAUGCAAGUCGAGCGAACAGACGAGGAGCUUGCUCCUCUGACGUUAGCGGCGGACGGGUGAGUAAUACGUGGAUAACCUACCUAUAAGACUGGGAUAAACUCGGGAAACUGGAGCUAAUACUGGAUACUAUAUUUAACCGCAUGGUUCAAUAGUGAAAGAGGGUUUUGCUUUCUCUUAUAGAUGGAUCCUCGUCGCCUUAGUUAGUUGGUAAGGUAACGCCUUACCAAGGCAACGAUGCGUAGCCGACCUGAGAGGGUGAUAGGCCGCCCGGGAGCGGGGACGCGGUCCAUAGUCCUGCGGGAGGCAGCAGUAUGGAAUCUGCCGCAGUAGGCGAAAGCCUGACGGAGCGACGCCGCGUGAGAUAUAGAGAUCUUCGGUGCGUAAUGCUCGGUUAUUAGGUAAGAACAAAUGUGUGAGUGGAAGAAGACGUCUUGACGGUACCUGAACAAGAAGCCACGGCUAACUACGUG
This 497-nucleotide ribosomal RNA is filed under the name uncultured bacterium. RNAcentral's name for it is "partial 16S ribosomal RNA". It matches the Rfam family "Bacterial small subunit ribosomal RNA", at positions 28 to 507 of the family's 1533-position model. The record is from RNAcentral.